AAACAUUUCGUUAAUAAUUCGGGCAUCUGCCUAAAAUAAAAUAAAUGAUUAAUUACAUUAAAGAUAAAAGUAAAUUAAAUCAGGGUAUACAAAUAAAGUGCAAAGUGUGUGAAAAGUGAAGCAAAUUCGCGACAAGUACGAAAAAUUAGCUGACCCCCAUGGCCCUUCUUCAAUUUCCUUUUUUUAUGCCAAUUACUUUUUUAAUUGCGACACUUUCAAAAAUCAAGAAAAAAAGUUCAUCAAUGUGUGCAAAAAGUGAAAAGCCUUUUGCGAAAAAUGUGAGUGCCAGCCGUUGCUAAUUGAAGUUCAAUGGAAAAAUGACCAAAAGUUAAUGAUGACAUUUCGCCGGCAGAAAAAAAUAGCAAAACACAAUACGUAAAGCAGCACAAAUAGGAAUGGAAACGAAAGAGUAUAAGAGCUGAGUAAAUAAGAUUUUUGUAUGGAUUUUAGCAGGAAGUUGGACAGCAAGAGCCCGCUAGAUGAUUGACCUUUGGCUGCCCACUUCCUGCUAGAUAAUUGGCACAAGCAUGAUAAGACAAAGAAAGCUGAAUAGCUAAGGCAAGAGAUCUGGUUCAAAAGGGUUGAAGCAUCCCUUUGCUUUGGCCAUUGCUGGAUAUAACUCACAGUUUUCAACGAAAGGUCAGAUGGCCAGGAGUCCAAGGAGAUGAAGAAGAACACGAUUGAAGUUCAUAAAAUACAAUUUAUGCCGUUUAGAAAAUAAUAA
Molecule: small RNA, 724 nt
Filed under: Drosophila mojavensis
Lineage: Eukaryota; Metazoa; Arthropoda; Insecta; Diptera; Drosophilidae
Description: GI26125
Source: RNAcentral